RNAcentral lists this long non-coding RNA (2498 nucleotides) under Mus musculus (house mouse). RNAcentral describes it as "long non-coding RNA chr2:112387800-112390298". Lineage: Eukaryota; Metazoa; Chordata; Mammalia; Rodentia; Muridae. The record is from RNAcentral.
GGUUUUUCCAGACAGGGUUUCUCUGUGUAACCUUGGCUGUCCUGGAACUCACACUGUAGACCAGCUGGCCUUGAACUCAGAAAUCCACCUGCCUCUGCCUCUGCCUCCCAAGUGCUGGGAUUAAAGGUGUGCACCACCACACCUGGCUGAGUAUUGGUUUCUAUGAGAAUUAUUGGAAUAUUGCUUUGGCUAAUUUUAGUUAACACAAACCUAGUCAUCUGGGGAGAGGGGACCUCAGUUGAGAAAUUGUCUCCACCAGAGUAGCCUGUGGGCAGUGCUAGUCUUAGGCAGCUGUGGAGGAAAGGUAGCUGAAUGUGAUGUGAGCCGGGGAGGGGGCACCAUUCUUCUGUGGUUUUUGCUUCAAGCUCCUGUCUUGGUUUCCCUUAAUGAUGGACUGAAAGUGGAAGAUGAACUCUUUCCCAAUUGCUUUUACUCAUGGUGUUUAUGACUACAACAGAAAGCUUAACCAGGAAAACUGUGUUGUAUAGUCUAUUUGAAAGCAAAUGGCUUAAACAUUUUAUUAUUAAACUACGUACUGAUUUGAAAAUUAAAGCAGUAAAAAACUAAGUCCUGUCUCCAGAUAUUUACAUUUUCAGGUUUUUGUGGUUACCUCUGAUAAUGGUUAAUAUUGAUUACCAGUUUGAUCUAGGAUAGUUUAGGAGACAGGCCUCUGGGCAUGCCUGUUGAGGGAUUUUCUAGAUUAUGUUAAUUUAGGUAGAAAGACUCAUCUUAAAUGUAGGUGACACUAUUCUUUGAGGUGGGGUCUGGUACUGAGUCAAAAGUAGGAGACCUGAGCAACAGAAUUCCUCCCUUCCUUCCUUCUUUCUACCUUUCACUGCAGUCUGACUAGCCCCUCAAGCUUUUGCCACCAUGAUUUCCACAUCAUGGUGACCUAUACUUCUGAACUGUGAGCAACAGUAAACCUUCCUAAGCUUUGCUUUUUGUCACAUAUUUUGUCAUAGCACUGAGAAAAGUAACUACUGGUGUAUCAUUUACAAUAUUAUAUGGAUGUGCCUGUGUGGCUAUGUGCACAUGAUUGCAGAGGGCAGGAAUGCCCAAUAUCUCUGGUGGUGGUGAGCCACCUGUUGUAGGUUCUGGAAAUUGAACUCGGUCCUCUGGGAAAAUAGUACACUUUUAAAUGUCCCUAAGAUUCAGGUCUAAUUGGGAUCUAUUCCAAAUGCUUCGGUGCUCCAUAGGAUAUACUGCUUCUGCCUUCUAGUAACUAGUACCAACCACAGCUUUUUUUAGUAUAAUUUUUGUUGGCUUGUCACUCCUCUCAGAAAUAAGACAUAUGUUACCUGUUCAUAUUUUGACACAUAGUAGGGAGUGAAUUAAGUGUGGACUAUAUGUUAUGUUUUCUUUUCCACUUUUGUUUAUUUACUUUCAUUAGUUGAGAUCUGGAAAGGCUACAGUAUCUUAUAGAUUUUGUGUCCAGUGGCCUUUGCAGGAAGCCCUCUGUGUCCGUGGGCCAGGAACCAGAGUUACCUUUCCCAGAUCAGUCUGGUUUAGGUUGGUUUGGUUCAGUUUGCCUCCAGGAGUCACUGUUAUUUUUGUUUUAAACACAUAAGCACAUUUCUUACCUAAGGAGAACUCAGCUUCAACUUUCAACUCUUUGAGAAGAGCUCUGUGCUCUCCUUGGUGCCGGAGACCUCACUUAGAGCCAGCAAAAAUGGCCUUGCACCACAGCCUUCCAGAUAUAUUUGCCUUUUAGAAGUUUUGUUCCCAGCAGGCCUUUUCAGGCGCCAAGGUGACUGGGUUUUUUGUUUGUUUGUUUGGUUGGUUUGGUUUUUUUUUUCGAGACAGGGUUUCUCUGUGUAGCCCCAGCUGUCCUGGAACUCACUCUGUAGACCAGGCUGGCCUUGAACUCAGAAGUCUGCCUGCCUCUGCCUCCCAAAGUGGCUGUUUUUAUCAUUUAAAAUUAAACCUCAAAAUACCAGUGUUUUGUGAUUACACAUUUGUUCACUCAACGGGGUGUGUAUGCACAUGUGUCUGUGUGUAGUGUAUUUAUACAUUAAGUAGUAGCUGUGAAAUUGCAUUUUAGGUAGUAUAUGUUAAUGUAUGCAGUCCCUGUCUAUCAGCAGUUUUAUAGUGUAGCGAUGGCUCAGUAGGGAAAGGUGCCAAAUCUGACAGCCUGAAUCCAGCCCCUGUGACCUACACAGUAAAAGAGAAGGCAGUUUUUCACAAGUUGUCCGUUUGACCUCUACACACAUAGUAGCAUUUGUGUGCGCAUACAGACAUGUAAUUUAGGAAAAAAAGUUAAAUGUUUUAAAAAGCUUUGAAGUUUAUUUAGCCAGAGGAGACAGACUAAAAUCAGCUAGUGCUCAGCCAUAGCUUACAUUAAUCCCUCAUGUAUUUGUUAUCUGCCAAAGGCAGAAACUGCAAUAUUAAACUGAGUGUUCUAAGAGAUGGUAUAGGAAACCUUGCACCAAGACCAGAAUCAAGAAAUGCUUUGGAAAAAAAGAUUCAAUCCUCAUAGUAAGAGAGGCUUUGAUAAAGCG